GUCAGUAAAUAAUUUUACCUCGAAAUCAAUCGUGAAUGUUGUGGUAAAAUUAAACUGUGAAACGUUUCACCCUUAACUUUCAUCUAGUUCACCAAGUAGUGCGGGCAUUGUGCUAAACGAGGUGCUGUGAAGGGCUGUGAUUGGGGCGAUUGCGAUCGAGUAAACAUGGUGGACGUAGCCCGACAACUGCUGGAUGAGCUCAUGGGCAGGAACCGCAAUCUGGAUCCUUCUUCCUCGGCCAAAGAAGUUUCGUGGGUUGAUGAAGAGUUCUGUCCGUACUUCUUGGUAAAGUUCUGUCCGCACGAUUUAUUUGUAAACACUCGGGCAGAUUUGGGUCAAUGUACCAAACUGCACGACGAUGAGGCAAAACGGUUGUACGAUGAAGCCAAACCGUGCCGCAAGAAAGCGCAGUACGAAGAAGACUUCCUACGGUUCUGUACCAAUAUGAUCAACGAAGUUGAUCGUAAGAUUUCGAAAGGUAAGCAAAGACUUCUUCUCAUGAACAGCAAAACGGAUACUGGACGAUCCGUGCCGAAGCAUCAAGAGCAUCUGAACACGUUGACGGAGAAAAUAAACAAACUAGUACGGGAAGCCGAAGAAGCCGGGACGCGUGGCGACGUGGAGCAAGCCCAGGGUUUGAUGGAACAGUGUGAUAAGCUGAAAGAGGAGAAAGACGUUCUGGUGAAGCAACAUGAAUCAAACGGCUGGUCUGUGACGGCCGAAAUUGCGGCUUCGCAAGAAAAACAGAUGGAAGUUUGCGAAGUUUGUGGUGCAUUUUUAAUCGUCGGAGACGCCCAGCAACGGAUCGACGAUCACCUGACGGGAAAGCAGCAUCUUGGGUAUUCAAAAUUACGUAAAGCGGUAGACGAGAUGUACGAAGCGAGAAGAAAAAACACCAUCAAUAUAGAAGAACGCCGCUCCCGUGAUGAUGACCGCCGGAGGCGAGAGAACCCUAGACGUGAGGAGCGAAAAUCUCGAGAACGUGACGAGCGUCACAACAGUAGACGAGACGAUCGAGAUCGCAAUCGUUACCGACGAGAUCAUCGUGACCAUAAAGAGCGCAACGAUCGCCACGAUAAUCGUCAGCGUGAUCGUAAUUACAGACGGGAUCGCAACGAGCGCAGUGAACGAGAGCGGGACCGUGAACGAGAUCGCAGUCGUAGUCGCAGCUAUUAGGUUCCCGUUUUAUGCACUGAAUGGAAGCACUGCGACUGUGCGGUACAACGAUGUGCACACCGGUUGUGUAAUUCCCCGGGCAUAUCUUCUACAAAACCGUCUCGUUUAUCUUGAGGUAUCCCCACUAAGAAUAGAAAACAAAAGCAAAAAAAUCCAAAUAUGACCAAUACACAAAAACCGAUAAACUAUCGAAACCCCUCUAGGAUCGUAAGUAGACUUUUAUUUAUCUUCCAAAACUGGUGCAGCACUGUAUUCCUGCAAAUGCGACAAUGGAACUGAAGCGAAGGUAAUGGCGGGACGGCCCAUUCCGACGUAGAAACAAUUUUCUUUCUGCACACCCAAAACACGGCAGGUAGCGUGAUUUAAAAAAUCAUUUUAAAUGUAAGAAACAUUCACCUUUCUGAGCCCAACGGUUCCGAUAUCCCAAGCUGUAGAUCAACAAAAUAGAGGACAAGUAGUUUAAUAAAAUUUAACGAAUUGAGAAGCUAGUUGACGAUUUUAGCACGCAUACAGAUCGUGGUUCUGUUCUCAACUGUCUCGCCAUACAGAGGAGUCAUCAUUCGCGGUGGAUGGACUCUACCCAUACAUAAUUCGUCAUUAUUUCCCACGAACUGGCAAAAUCUGGAAACGGUUCUUUGCAGUAAUACAAACUGUACUAUUUAUUCGCCACCGGCAACAUGUUUAGCAGCGUGGACCACGCUGGAUUGGUAGGAUUGAACGUAGGUGUGAGCGCUUUCGCUUCGUGAGCAAUAACAAAAAAGUUGUGCCUUGUGCAAGUUGUCAAUAACGGAAAGUGUGGCACAACAUGGAUCGGCACGGGUUUAGUAAUCGAAUGAACGAGGUAAUCAGUGUCGCAAAAAGUGUCGCGUUUAAAGCCAAUGGUUAUAGCUUUUUAUUAACAUUGUCCAGAAAGUUUGCAGAAAUUCUACGAGACACUGCUGAAGCCGUUGAAGAGGUGCAUUUGAACUUGUGUUGGCGCACCCAAGAGCAAAGGUUAUAAAGUAAGGGAGACGACCUAAAAAUACUCUUUCAUUACACUCAUAAUUUGUAGUUUGACCACAUGGUGUAAAAGAUCAUUUUAAGGCUGAACUAAAGCCUAAUUAAGCACCAUACUUUUUAACAAAUUUGGAAACGAAGGACAAUGUGAAACUGUAAAAUGUAUCCACUGCAAAGGUAAAAUAGUUUUCGGUGUGCUUCGACUCAUGCAAGUUCAUUAGUGUAAGGUGUUUAAAAACGUUCGUACCCCGAAAAACCCUUCCAUACUCCACGUUCGUUGUGUUAGGCACGUCAGUUAUUCAGAAAACACAACGGAGGGCAAGUGCAGAAACCGGGCCACAGAUUGAAAGAUCGUCCCCACCGGUCGGCCCAUUUGUCAGAAAACAAAUCGCUUUAGACGUUGCUAUGUUAUAAUUUUACUCCAGGUAUUCAGCGUAUAAAUUUUUCUCUCCAAUUUUCCAAGCAAA
This is an RNA transcript of Anopheles cruzii, 2639 nucleotides long. It is a transcript of the gene named luc7-like protein 3, with no coding region annotated. The transcript has 7 exons. Lineage: Eukaryota; Metazoa; Arthropoda; Insecta; Diptera; Culicidae. The record is from RefSeq and is a predicted model, not a curated record.